CCCUCCCGGCCGCCCCCGCCCGGCGCGUCACGGCGGAGCCGGCAACGGCGGCAACGGCGGCGGCGGUGGGUGCGCUCCGUUCCGCUCCCGCCAUGGCGGCCCGCCGGCACCGGGCCUUACUGGUCCUCGGCCUGGCUUUGGUGGUCGCCACCGCCGCCGCCGCCGUCGCCGUCGCCGCCGCUACCGAUCCUUUCUCGCCCCAGCUGGGAGAUACCGCCGGUUGCCGCGGGCAGUGCGGCCGCAGCCUGCCCCGCCGAACCGCCGCCGAUGCUGUUCUCAACGCCUGUUACCGGGGCUGCCGGCUGUUCUCCAUCUGUCACUUCGUGGAUGCGAGCGCCGAGCUGAACACAACCCGAGCUGAGUGUGAAGCAGCGUGCGCCGAAGCCUACAGCAACGCAGAGGAGCAGUUUGGCUGCGUGACGGGGUGCCGCAAGCAGCUGCCCGAGGUGGAGAGCAGGAAGGAGAAGAGCCUGGAACUGAAGGCGCCGUCGUUCUCCAUGUUCGAUUUGGUCUCCACCUUCUGCAACGACAUCGUCAGCUCUGCCCAGAGCUUCAUCUCCUCCACCUGGACCUUCUACCUGCAGGCAGAUGAUGGCAAAGUCGUGGUGUUUCAGUCCCAGCCGGAGAUGGAGUAUCCAGUACUCGAGGCACUGGAGACCCAGCCGGAGCGGCCGGUGCGGCCGGGACCGGGGUCCAGCCCCCGCGUCUCCCAGCCCCACACAGGCCCCCGGGCGAAGGGGGAGAAGCCCCCCGUGAAGGAGCCACGAGGCAAAGGCAAGGUGCAGCACCCGGACCCCCCGCAGCCAGAGCACGACUUCCUCGGCUGCAUGUCCAAGGGGUGGUGGGGUGUUACAGGCGCUCGGGCCUUCCUCGCUGGAUCCUGGCUGCCUGCCUCUUCCUCUCCAUCAUGGUGAUGCUGUGGCUGAGCUGUGCCAGUUUGGUGACUGCUCCUGAGCAGCACGUCAAGACCCAGCCUCUGAGCAUCAACGGAGACAAGGAGUACCUGGAAGACCUGGAUGGCCCCGGCGCUUUCCCCCUGCCGCCCGUCAUCGCCGUCACCCUGUGCCCCACGCGCGGCGGCGAGGACGCGGGGCCGCUGCCCCUCAAGGUCGACCUGGGCAAGACCAUCCUGUAGUGCUCCCACCCUUCCCAUCACCACCACAUCACCUCCCUGUUUCCAUCCCCAGGACAUCGUCCCCGGUCCCAUUCUGUGGCCCCUCCAGCUCCCCCGUGUCCCCGGCUCCUGGAGGGGCAGCUCUGGCUCUGGCUUGGUCCCGCUCUCCUCCCCAGGGAUGGCCGCUGCAAAGGAGGCUCCCAGGAGCCGGGCAGCGGCUUUGCCUCCUCCGUAGAUGUGCUCUUUGCUGGGAUCUUGGUUUCCAGUGCUCGAGAGCCAAGAGAGGAGCUGCCAGAGCGGGGAGGCCGGGGGGAGCCCGUCCUCGUAGCGAGGCGGUCCGUCUCUUCCCGACCGGAGCCCCCGGGGCCCCGCAGCCCUCCGGGCAUGGGUCCAGCGCUGGGCAGGAGGGAGCCGGCUGCGGUGGGGGAUGGAGAGUGUCUGCAGCGUUCUGGGCUUUGGCUCGGCACAUCCCCGGCCUCCCACCUUGGGCUGAGCCUCCAAGGCGCCGUCUCCGGCCCUGGGAACUCCCUUCCGCCGGCCGGAGCCGAUUGCCUUGGGGAGCCGAAACGUGGCGAAUGGAUUUGGCGUUGGCAGCCGGAGAGAGGAGCGGAUCUUGCCGCCUCCGUGCCCACGCGAGGACCCAGCCGGCCCCUUCCCGGAGCUGCGGAGGGGCCCCGGGAUGGCUCCUUCCCCUCCCUGAUGCCUUUGGGGCGGCUGGCCCCGAUGCCGACGGGUCGCUGGUGGGACUGAGCAGGGGACGAGGUGACAUUUCCCUGCCUCGUGCUGCUGUGGCACGUCCGAGCUCGGGCAGGAGGUGGGAGCUGCCGGGAUGCCUCCGUCCUGGGCUCAGCAUCCCUGCCCGAUGCCGGGAGCAGCUCAGCCUGCGGGGCUGUAGCUGAUGGCAGGACCUAGCGGCAGCCGGCCUCCGGGUCCCCUGGCUCACAGCACUGCCCUGGAAGCAGGGGGCUAGUCCCGGGGUCUCCUGGUCAAGCGGGAACCCCUCGGCUCGCCCCGGCACAGCCCCUCGGCACGGAGGGGUCCCCUUCCCUCCCCCUGCUCCGCAGGGCUCUGCUCCCACAGCCGGGCUCGGUGCGAGCCGAGGCAUCUCCCCAUCUCCCCGCCGUUCUCCAUCACUUGACUUCGUGCAUCAUUUCGUGGUUUGAUUUGCAUCGGCAUGUGGUUCGUCAGCCCCUGGUGCCCCAUGGGGACACCCCUGCACUUGGGAGGGACGGCUCGGCGGCGGCGGUCCCUGCCAUCCCCGCGUCCACCUAACACGUCUGUACAGAUUAACUUAUUACCCGCAACUCCCCACCCUUGGGUUUUUAGGCUCUCUCCGUGUGCCGGCUGCUCCCCAGCGCUGAGCGGUCUCGGGGGGCCGUGGCGUGGUGGGGCGGGGGGCUCUCGUCCCCAUCCCCACAGGUUUUGUGCUGCUCCGUAUCACUUUCACCCGUGCAACAUAUCUGGAUUUGGGGAACUGGGUUGGGGAGGGGGUGGGGGUGUUGUGUCCGUUUUGGGGUACACUUUUUGUUGUCGCUUUUUGGCCGCUCGGCUCAGUGUAAAGCUCGGUGGAGUCUGUGGUGUUGUCCCAGCCACGGCAGCUCUCCCCAUCCCCGGGGUGCAACCGCACCGGGCCAUGAGCUUGGGGGAGAGGGUGGCCGCGGAGGCCCCCCCAGCUUUGCUUCCAAAGGGCAAACCCAGCCCCAAGCUGGCUGGGCGGUGCGGGCGGAGGGGAAAUAAAAGGUUUGUACCAGA
RNA transcript from Aquila chrysaetos chrysaetos, 2866 nucleotides. It is a transcript of the gene named transmembrane protein 59 like, with no coding region annotated. The transcript has 8 exons. The record is from RefSeq and is a predicted model, not a curated record. Lineage: Eukaryota; Metazoa; Chordata; Aves; Accipitriformes; Accipitridae.